CCCUCUUUGCCCCGCCCUUAAUUUCCAAUUGGCUGAGACAAUUUUCAAUUUGCAUAGACAGCAAUGUGGCUAUUAGUCACGCGUUAAUUGAGCGCCUAUUAUGAGAUGGCUGGGAAGCUGGAAGAAAGCGCAUCUUUGUAUCAUUAAUUGAGCAUCUGCUAUGUUCUAAGUGCUGCAGAGACAGCAGUGAAGCAAAGAAGCAACAUCCUGGGUUAAAAAAAAAAACAAAACCCAACCCUCAUGCGGCAUACAUAGUGGAUGGCCCAAUUGUUCACUGCUUGUUAAUUGAGGAAAGAUACAGACCCAUGGGAUACAAGCUGGGGAUGAACUCAGAGCCUCACACAUGCUAGGCAUGUGCCCCAACUAACACUACCUUCUAAAGUGCAGGACAUAAUGGUUAGAAAUAUGGCCUUGGAAAUCAAAGACAUCUGAGUUUGAAUUUCAGCUCUAUAAUUGCUAUUUUGGAAAAGUUACCUGAUCUUUCUAAGCCUCAGUUUUCUUAUCUAUAAAAUGAGAAGAAUCAUCCUUAUCUCACUUGAUUAAAUAAAAACCUAUAUGUAAAGCAAGUUGCAUAGUAUUUAAUGCAUAAAACCAUUCAACAAAUGUUAGCCUUUUAUCACUGCCAAGGUUAUUGUUAAUGUUAGUUAUUGUUAAUGUUGUUGGUUUUGUGCUUAAAGUAUCCAGCAGACUAGAGGUAUAGGUUUUCACAAAAGAUGACCAGCCACAUAGUCAACAGUAUUUCACAAUCAUUCUUUCUGAAGACAAAUUAUUGCCACGACUAACUGGGAGUAUUAAAUUGAAAGAAUUAUUGUUUAGUUGCUUGUACAAGGAUGUCAAACUUUCUAGCCAAAUAAACAAUUCUAGGCAAAGGUCCAUACUGCGUUUUUUUGAGACAGGGUCUUGUUAUGUAGCCCAGACUGGCCUUGAAUUCACAAUCAUCCUCACUCAGCCUUCUGAGUGCUGGGAUUAUAGGCAUGGAUAGUUGCCCCUUUCAGUUACAACUCACUUUUGAUCCCCAG
Long non-coding RNA from Heterocephalus glaber (naked mole-rat), 1019 nucleotides. NCBI's taxonomy places the organism in Eukaryota, Metazoa, Chordata, Mammalia, Rodentia, Bathyergidae. The record is from Ensembl.